AACGCUAGCUACAGGCUUAACACAUGCAAGUCGAGGGGCAGCAUGGUCUUAGCUUGCUAAGGCCGAUGGCGACCGGCGCACGGGUGAGUAACACGUAUCCAACCUGCCGUCUACUCUUGGACAGCCUUCUGAAAGGAAGAUUAAUACAAGAUGGCAUCAUGAGUCCACAUGUUCACAUGAUUAAAGGUAUUCCGGUAGACGAUGGGGAUGCGUUCCAUUAGAUAGUAGGCGGGGUAACGGCCCACCUAGUCUUCGAUGGAUAGGGGUUCUGAGAGGAAGGUCCCCCACAUUGGAACUGAGACACGGUCCAAACUCCUACGGGAGGCAGCAGUGAGGAAUAUUGGUCAAUGGGCGAGAGCCUGAACCAGCCAAGUAGCGUGAAGGAUGACUGCCCUAUGGGUUGUAAACUUCUUUUAUAAAGGAAUAAAGUCGGGUAUGCAUACCCGUUUGCAUGUACUUUAUGAAUAAGGAUCGGCUAACUCCGUGCCAGCAGCCGCGGUAAUACGGAGGAUCCGAGCGUUAUCCGGAUUUAUUGGGUUUAAAGGGAGCGUAGAUGGAUGUUUAAGUCAGUUGUGAAAGUUUGCGGCUCAACCGUAAAAUUGCAGUUGAUACUGGAUAUCUUGAGUGCAGUUGAGGCAGGCGGAAUUCGUGGUGUAGCGGUGAAAUGCUUAGAUAUCACGAAGAACUCCGAUUGCGAAGGCAGCCUGCUAAGCUGCAACUGACAUUGAGGCUCGAAAGUGUGGGUAUCAAACAGGAUUAGAUACCCUGGUAGUCCACACGGUAAACGAUGAAUACUCGCUGUUUGCGAUAUACUGCAAGCGGCCAAGCGAAAGCGUUAAGUAUUCCACCUGGGGAGUACGCCGGCAACGGUGAAACUCAAAGGAAUUGACGGGGGCCCGCACAAGCGGAGGAACAUGUGGUUUAAUUCGAUGAUACGCGAGGAACCUUACCCGGGCUUAAAUUGCAGAUGAAUUACGGUGAAAGCCGUAAGCCGCAAGGCAUCUGUGAAGGUGCUGCAUGGUUGUCGUCAGCUCGUGCCGUGAGGUGUCGGCUUAAGUGCCAUAACGAGCGCAACCCUUGUUGUCAGUUACUAACAGGUUCUGCUGAGGACUCUGACAAGACUGCCAUCGUAAGAUGUGAGGAAGGUGGGGAUGACGUCAAAUCAGCACGGCCCUUACGUCCGGGGCUACACACGUGUUACAAUGGGGGGUACAGAGGGCCGCUACCACGCGAGUGGAUGCCAAUCCCAAAAACCUCUCUCAGUUCGGACUGGAGUCUGCAACCCGACUCCACGAAGCUGGAUUCGCUAGUAAUCGCGCAUCAGCCACGGCGCGGUGAAUACGUUCCCGGGCCUUGUACACACCGCCCGUCAAGCCAUGGGAGCCGGGGGUACCUGAAGUGCGUAACCGCGAGGAGCGCCCUAGGGUAAAACUGGUGACUGG
This 1442-nucleotide ribosomal RNA is filed under the name uncultured organism. Its description in RNAcentral is "SSU rRNA". It matches the Rfam family "Bacterial small subunit ribosomal RNA". The record is from RNAcentral.